AAGGAGAUUGCAUCGUAAGAUGUGAAGACUUGGCAGAUAAUGAUCUGGGAACGGGCUCAGUCUGGAAACAGAGCAAGCAAAGCAG
Molecule: non-coding RNA, 85 nt
Filed under: Apocalathium aciculiferum
Lineage: Eukaryota; Dinophyceae; Thoracosphaerales; Thoracosphaeraceae
Source: RNAcentral